AAAGUGGCAUCACUAUACAUUUAAAACUCUGGUGGUUAAAGAUGGGCAUGCGUGACAUUAGCUGGUUGGUGAGGUAACGGCUCACCAAGGCUACGAUGUCUAGGGGUUCUGAGAGGAUGAUCCCCCACACUGGUACUGAGACACGGACCAGACUCCUACGGGAGGCAGCAGUAAGGAAUAUUGGUCAAUGGACGCAAGUCUGAACCAGCCAUGCCGCGUGCAGGAAGACAGCCUUAUGGGUUGUAAACUGCUUUUAUAAAGGAAUAAACCCAUUCUCGUGAGGAUGGUUGAAGGUACUUUAUGAAUAAGCACCGGCUAACUCCGUGCCAGCAGCCGCGGUAAUACGGAGGGUGCAAGCGUUAUCCGGAUUUAUUGGGUUUAAAGGGUGCGCAGGCGGACCUGUCAGUCAGUGGUGAAAUCCCGGGGCUCGACCUCGGAACUGCCAUUGAUACUGCAGGUCUUGAGUUUGGUUGAAGUGGGCGGAAUGUAGCAUGUAGCGGUGAAAUGCAUAGAUAUGCUACAGAACACCGAUCGCGAAGGCAGCUCACUAAACCAAAACUGACGCUCAGGCACGAAAGCGUGGGUAGCGAACAGGAUUAGAUACCCUGGUAGUCCACGCCGUAAACGAUGAUCACUCGUUGUUGGCGAUACACAGUCAGCGACCAAGCGAAAGCGAUAAGUGAUCCACCUGGGGAGUACGUUCGCAAGAAUGAAACUCAAAGGAAUUGACGGGGGCCCGCACAAGCGGUGGAGCAUGUGGUUUAAUUCGAUGAUACGCGAGGAACCUUACCUGGGCUCAAAUGUAAGUUGACGUAACGGGAAACCGUUAUUUCUUCGGACAAUUUACAAGGUGCUGCAUGGUUGUCGUCAGCUCGUGCCGUGAGGUGUCGGGUUAAGUCCCAUAACGAGCGCAACCCCUAUCAUUAGUUGCCAUCAGGUAAAGCUGGGGACUCUAGUGAAACUGCCUACGCAAGUAGAGAGGAAGGUGGGGAUGACGUCAAAUCAGCACGGCCCUUACGUCCAGGGCUACACACGUGCUACAAUGGUAGGUACAGCGAGCAGCCACCCCGCGAGGGGGAGCGAAUCUAUAAAGCCUAUCACAGUUCGGAUCGGAGUCUGCAACUCGACUCCGUGAAGCUGG
RNAcentral lists this ribosomal RNA (1141 nucleotides) under uncultured sediment bacterium. Its description in RNAcentral is "bacterial SSU rRNA". It matches the Rfam family "Bacterial small subunit ribosomal RNA", at positions 182 to 1329 of the family's 1533-position model. The record is from RNAcentral.